UGAUCCUCACCAAUUGUCUUAGACCA
Molecule: non-coding RNA, 26 nt
Filed under: Rattus norvegicus (Norway rat)
Lineage: Eukaryota; Metazoa; Chordata; Mammalia; Rodentia; Muridae
Source: RNAcentral